GAAAUUAAUUUAAUAAAAAUAACAACAAUAAAAAAAUAGAGUCUGCCCGACAUCAGACAGACUCCACAGUACACACAGUCGUGCGUCCUUUCGCGGAUCCUACAUGCAUUAUCCAUUGGGCAGGUUUAUUAAGUUAUAACAGCUUCUUCUUAAAAGAGAAGGACGUUGA
Molecule: unclassified non-coding RNA, 169 nt
Filed under: Enterobacter hormaechei
Lineage: Bacteria; Pseudomonadati; Pseudomonadota; Gammaproteobacteria; Enterobacterales; Enterobacteriaceae
Description: IS061 RNA
Source: RNAcentral